UCACACUACUAGGGGUGCCGGAUGGCGAUGGCUGAGAGGAAAACGUGCAAUCAGUUUUCCAACCCUUUGAACCUGAUCUGGUUUGUACCAGCGGAGGGAAGUAGGCUAUGUUUUCA
Molecule: non-coding RNA, 116 nt
Organism: Anoxybacillus flavithermus WK1
Lineage: Bacteria; Bacillati; Bacillota; Bacilli; Caryophanales; Anoxybacillaceae
Source: Rfam